UCCAGCGUCUGUGAUUGGUGCGCGCGCGCGAGGGGAGCACGAGGCGCUCGCCCCCGGGGCGGGGGCUGAGCCUGAGGGGAGCGCUGAGGGAAGCCUUGAAACUCCUGGUUGUGAUAUCUACUGUGGUACAACACCAGCUUCAGAUGUAGCUGCAACCCACAGAACAAUACAUCAUGACGUACAAUAGCCACAGCGGGCUGAAGGAAAGGCGUUCUCUGCACGGAGAAGGAAACGCACCUUUCACAAGGGCCAUUUGGGCAGGGUGAGUACUGUCUGUGCUAACAGCUUCUGUUUAACCAAUAACAGCAAUGACAAGGAGUACCACUGCAAAGGUAAGAAGCAACGUGGCCACAGAAUGAUACUCAAACCAUACUAAACAUUAGGAAAAAUACUUUGUUUGGCUCCAAAAUAGAUUGAUAUAGACAUAUCAAUAUAAGUCCUCCUCAAGUAAAAUCAGGUCAUUUACUGAUGCAUAGCAAAAUUCUGGU
Catharus ustulatus (Swainson's thrush) is the source of this 488-nucleotide long non-coding RNA. RefSeq lists it as uncharacterized. The transcript has 3 exons. The record is from RefSeq and is a predicted model, not a curated record. NCBI's taxonomy places the organism in Eukaryota, Metazoa, Chordata, Aves, Passeriformes, Turdidae.